CAGCUUGCUGUUUCGCUGACGAGUGGCGGACGGGUGAGUAAUGUCUGGGAAACUGCCUGAUGGAGGGGGAUAACUACUGGAAACGGUAGCUAAUACCGCAUAACGUCGCAAGACCAAAGAGGGGGACCUUCGGGCCUCUUGCCAUCGGAUGUGCCCAGAUGGGAUUAGCUAGUAGGUGGGGUAACGGCUCACCUAGGCGACGAUCCCUAGCUGGUCUGAGAGGAUGACCAGCCACACUGGAACUGAGACACGGUCCAGACUCCUACGGGAGGCAGCAGUGGGGAAUAUUGCACAAUGGGCGCAAGCCUGAUGCAGCCAUGCCGCGUGUAUGAAGAAGGCCUUCGGGUUGUAAAGUACUUUCAGCGGGGAGGAAGGGAGUAAAGUUAAUACCUUUUCUCAUUGACGUUACCCGCAGAAGAAGCACCGGCUAACUCCGUGCCAGCAGCCGCGGUAAUACGGAGGGUGCAAGCGUUAAUCGGAAUUACUGGGCGUAAAGCGCACGCAGGCGGUUUGUUAAGUCAGAUGUGAAAU
This 531-nucleotide ribosomal RNA is filed under the name uncultured bacterium. Its description in RNAcentral is "bacterial SSU rRNA". It matches the Rfam family "Bacterial small subunit ribosomal RNA", at positions 76 to 600 of the family's 1533-position model. The record is from RNAcentral.